GGUCCUGUAGCUCAGCUGGUAGAGCAAAUGACUCUUAAUCAUUGGGUCCAAGGUUCGAUCCCUUGCGGGACCA
RNAcentral lists this transfer RNA (73 nucleotides) under Bacteroidota bacterium. RNAcentral's name for it is "Bacteroidetes bacterium (activated sludge metagenome) tRNA-Lys". It matches the Rfam family "tRNA". From Rfam's summary of the family: Transfer RNA (tRNA) molecules are approximately 80 nucleotides in length. Their secondary structure includes four short double-helical elements and three loops (D, anti-codon, and T loops). Further hydrogen bonds mediate the characteristic L-shaped molecular structure. tRNAs have two regions of fundamental functional importance: the anti-codon, which is responsible for specific mRNA codon recognition, and the 3' end, to which the tRNAs corresponding amino acid is attached (by aminoacyl-tRNA synthetases). tRNAs cope with the degeneracy of the genetic code in two manners: having more than one tRNA (with a specific anti-codon) for a particular amino acid; and 'wobble' base-pairing, i.e. permitting non-standard base-pairing at the 3rd anti-codon position. Lineage: Bacteria; Pseudomonadati; Bacteroidota. The record is from RNAcentral.